Molecule: non-coding RNA, 24 nt
Filed under: Arabidopsis thaliana (thale cress)
Lineage: Eukaryota; Viridiplantae; Streptophyta; Magnoliopsida; Brassicales; Brassicaceae
Source: RNAcentral
AAACACAGGAAGGAGAUCAAAGCG